CGAGUUUGAUCCUGGCUCAGAGUGAACGCUGGCGGCAGGCCUAACACAUGCAAGUCGAGCGGCAGCGCGUCCGACCACCCUCGGGUGGUCGGAUGGCGGCGAGCGGCGGACGGGUGAGGAAUGCAUCGGAAUCUGCCUCGUUGUGGGGGAUAACGUAGGGAAACUUACGCUAAUACCGCAUACGACCUACGGGUGAAAGUGGGGGGACCUUCGGGCCUCACGCGAUGAGAUGAGCCGAUGCCGGAUUAGCUAGUUGGCGGGGUAAAGGCCCACCAAGGCGACGAUCCGUAGCUGGUCUGAGAGGAUGAUCAGCCACACUGGAACUGAGACACGGUCCAGACUCCUACGGGAGGCAGCAGUGGGGAAUAUUGGACAAUGGGGGGCAACCCUGAUCCAGCCAUGCCGCGUGUGUGAAGAAGGCCUUCGGGUUGUAAAGCACUUUUGUUGGGGAAGAAACCGGCCGGGUUAAUACCCUGGUUGAAUGACGGUACCCAAAGAAUAAGCACCGGCUAACUUCGUG
Molecule: ribosomal RNA, 520 nt
Filed under: uncultured bacterium
Lineage: Bacteria
Description: bacterial SSU rRNA
Rfam family: Bacterial small subunit ribosomal RNA
Source: RNAcentral